This 233-nucleotide long non-coding RNA is filed under the name Elaeis guineensis (African oil palm). Its description in RNAcentral is "long non-coding RNA (EGUI_LNC067474)". The record is from RNAcentral. Lineage: Eukaryota; Viridiplantae; Streptophyta; Magnoliopsida; Arecales; Arecaceae.
ACUACCAUGGUGACUUGUAAGUGACUCACUAUACUUUAGUACUGAAUCAUCUAAAUUUCUAACUCAAUGAUGGAAGGCUACUGGGUACAGUCAAGUACUUAUCAAGUCGGUGUGUGAGUUAAGGUAGAAUUGAUCCCUCUAAAUUAGUAGAAGAUAUGCAUCGGUGUAUUUCAAUUCAGUAAAAUCUUGAUCAGGAUAAUCCAUGAGAUGGAUUUGAAAGAUUAAAAUAUAAU